This is a long non-coding RNA of Suricata suricatta (meerkat), 773 nucleotides long. RefSeq lists it as uncharacterized. The transcript has 2 exons. The record is from RefSeq and is a predicted model, not a curated record. Lineage: Eukaryota; Metazoa; Chordata; Mammalia; Carnivora; Herpestidae.
GUUGCCGAAACUCGAGCUAGGAAUCUCUAGACUCCCUACGGCUUUCUAGGUUGGUACGGGUCGACACCGACCUUAAAGAACAAAAUAAUCACGCUCCAAAACAACAAUGAACAUUUGUUUUGCUCUCAAAUACCCUGACAGACGAAACGCUUAGGAGGCUGAAUUAUCCGGCACGACCUUUGCCCACCUGGUCCCUCGUUUAAACAGCAUCGGCGCCUUUAUUCGCCUGACCCUAAGCGGAGGAAAACCCGCCUGAUCGGUCAUUGUCUGGUCCGCGACCGCCCCCACCCCCGCCCCAAUCAGUGUCACAAAAACGCCCCUUUCAACGGAUUCCAAACCCUCUUCACCCGGGCUCACCGAGCCUUCAACUUCAUUAAGUGCGCGCUACGGCGGCUCUGGAGGAGGCGAAGUUUAAAUAAACCCGAGCGGAGAGAGAGGAGGGGUGGGCCUGGGGAGGGUUGCUAGUUGAAGGGGAGAGAGAGAAGUGUUUUUGAAAAGGGGAAAAAAGUCAUCAGGGGAAAAGCGCUUUGUAACCACGAAGACGCGCCCGCUGUGGCGAGAACAAAUUGGAUAUGGAGGGGAAGUGUCCACCCCCACCUCAGCCCCGCUCCUGGGUGGUCCGGGGAGCCCCAGGAGAAAAGAAAGAUGGGGAGGAAUCGGCGUUGAAAAGAAUUAACCACUUUAAUUGGGCUGCAAGAGAGAAGUGGGAGAGGUUCGCGAUGUGCCUCGAUCACCCAAACCUAAUGCCCUUCAAUAAAUUAAAAUAAAAUGUC